Molecule: small nuclear RNA, 107 nt
Organism: Hippopotamus amphibius kiboko
Lineage: Eukaryota; Metazoa; Chordata; Mammalia; Artiodactyla; Hippopotamidae
Source: RefSeq, a predicted model, not a curated record
GUGCUCACUUCGACAGUACACAUACCAAAAUUGGAAUGAUACAGAGAAGAUUAGCAUGGCCCCUGCACAAGGAUGACACGCAAAUACGUGAAGCGUUCCAUAUUUUU